This 576-nucleotide ribosomal RNA is filed under the name uncultured bacterium. RNAcentral's name for it is "bacterial SSU rRNA". It matches the Rfam family "Bacterial small subunit ribosomal RNA", at positions 102 to 674 of the family's 1533-position model. The record is from RNAcentral.
ACGGGUGAGUAAUGUCUGGGAAACUGCCUGAUGGAGGGGGAUAACUACUGGAAACGGUAGCUAAUACCGCAUAACGUCGCAAGACCAAAGAGGGGGACCUUCGGGCCUCUUGCCAUCAGAUGUGCCCAGAUGGGAUUAGCUAGUAGGUGGGGUAACGGCUCACCUAGGCGACGAUCCCUAGCUGGUCUGAGAGGAUGACCAGCCACACUGGAACUGAGACACGGUCCAGACUCCUACGGGAGGCAGCAGUGGGGAAUAUUGCACAAUGGGCGCAAGCCUGAUGCAGCCAUGCCGCGUGUAUGAAGAAGGCCUUCGGGUUGUAAAGUACUUUCAGCGGGGAGGAAGGCGAUAAGGUUAAUAACCUUGUCGAUUGACGUUACCCGCAGAAGAAGCACCGGCUAACUCCGUGCCAGCAGCCGCGGUAAUACGGAGGGUGCAAGCGUUAAUCGGAAUUACUGGGCGUAAAGCGCACGCAGGCGGUCUGUCAAGUCGGAUGUGAAAUCCCCGGGCUCAACCUGGGAACUGCAUUCGAAACUGGCAGGCUAGAGUCUUGUAGAGGGGGGUAGAAUUCCAGGU